Molecule: transfer RNA, 71 nt
Filed under: Marmota marmota marmota (Alpine marmot)
Lineage: Eukaryota; Metazoa; Chordata; Mammalia; Rodentia; Sciuridae
Also listed under: 4 other names
Rfam family: tRNA
About the family: Transfer RNA (tRNA) molecules are approximately 80 nucleotides in length. Their secondary structure includes four short double-helical elements and three loops (D, anti-codon, and T loops). Further hydrogen bonds mediate the characteristic L-shaped molecular structure. tRNAs have two regions of fundamental functional importance: the anti-codon, which is responsible for specific mRNA codon recognition, and the 3' end, to which the tRNAs corresponding amino acid is attached (by aminoacyl-tRNA synthetases). tRNAs cope with the degeneracy of the genetic code in two manners: having more than one tRNA (with a specific anti-codon) for a particular amino acid; and 'wobble' base-pairing, i.e. permitting non-standard base-pairing at the 3rd anti-codon position.
Source: Rfam by way of RNAcentral
GAGGUUGUAGCUCAGUGGUAGAGCACUUGCCUAACAGGUAUGAGGCACUGGGUUCAAUUCUCAGCACCGCA